CCGCGUCAAUCCCUGGACAUGGUACGUUGUUGGUGCUUCUGACCACCAUUCCUCAAGUGUUCUGCUAGUGUCGAAAUACCGCUUGUGUCUGCUGAGUUAUAUGUGUUUCAGAAGCUAGUCGUAUUAUUAGAUUCUCAAUUUCUCAUUCCACUCCAUUCUCCAUUGGACUUGUGCACAUUUUUUGGAGAUGACAGUAAUAUUAGUUCCUUAAUUUCUCAGUCAACUCCAAACAGUUUCUGUAGCUAGUAAUUUGGUGAUUCACCGCCAACUCUGGUGGUAUGUAAAAACAGCUGACAUUAUAAUUGACAUCUGCACUUGAAACCAUUUUCAAUCUUUCACAGCUAAAGCAAGAUAGUCACAUGUGUAUACGUUGUCCAUGCUUGUGAAACUUAAAUCAUACUCCCUCCGUCCCAAAAUUCUUGUCUUACAUUUGUCUAAAUACAGAUGUAUCAAGUCACGUCUUAGUAUUAGAUACAUCCGUAUCUAGACAAAUCUAAGACAAGAAUUUUGGGACGGAGGGAGUAUUACUAUACUAAAACGUGACUUGAUACAUCCGUAUUUAGACAAAUCUAAGACAAGAAUUUUGGGAUGGAGAGUGUACUAAGAGAAACACCUAAAUGUUCUUGCAAAAGAAAAAGGAACACAUCUAAAUGAAGAUAAAUUUUACAAAGAUUUGUCCCUAAAGAAGCACGUAAAGCUCAAAAUGUCAUCUGUUAGGCUCUGUACAAAGUACAAAACAAAAUCUUAUGUUUAUCAAAGUAGUAGUCCCACUGAAACUAUAAACUUACAAGUACACAAGAUGUUUACAAGAUUAUCUAUCUUGUGUUGUUCAUUGUAUCAUGACUGGUCUUUCCAUCUGUGUUCAGCGUCUAUACUGGCCAGGCAAGAGACUACAUCCAUGAUUGUUGGCCUCAUGAAUUGAUUGUGGUUGACACAUUUGCAAGCGAUUUCAAGCACCUUCAGCAUUUGCUCUUCAUAUCCUGUGCCUCGAAGAAUUGGAUCCAGGACCUCAACCUGCUUUCCCUCAGACCUCAUCUCCAGCACCCAUGGGACAAGUUCUUUUGAUGUGGAUAGGACUGGAAGUGGCCGCAUUCCAGUAAGCAGCUCAAGCAAGACUACUCCGAAACUGUAGAUAUCGCCUCUCAACGUAGCAACCCAUGCCUGUCCAUACUCCGGGGGAAUGUAACCCAUCGUACCGACUAGCUCAGUUGUGACAUGAGUUUUGUUGGAAAGGAUCAAUCUGGCUAGCCCAAAAUCUGCAACAUAAGCUUUAAAUUCUUUGUCCAGUAGGAUAUUACUGGAUUUGAUGUCUCGGUGGACAAUUUGAGGGUUGCAGACUUCAUGGAUAUAAGAAAGUCCCAGGCUUGCUCCUUGUGCGAUUUUGAGCCGAGUUGGCCAGUCAAAACAUGAGCUAACAUCAUCAUCCCUGUUAUGAAGCCAAUCAUCUAGGCUGCCAUUCUCCAUGUAGGAAUAUAUGAGGAGCCUUGAGUUUCCCUGGAUGCAGUAACCCCAUAGUGGUACAAGAUUUUGAUGCUGUGUCAUGGAGAGUGCAUCAACCUCUGCCCUGAACUCCCUUUCCAUCAGACACAUUUCAUCGUGGAGCUUUUUAAUUGCCAGCUUGGAGCCACCAGGUAGUUCUGCCUUGUAGACUAAUCCAUAACCUCCGCACCCAACAAUGUUCUCCUUGUCAAAGUUGUUCGUGGCUUUCAAAAUGUCACUGAAUUUGAGCUUGUUUUCUUCUCCAUUGCCUUGUGGCAUCCACAUCACCACUAAUGUUUUCUCUGAACUGGAGUAGAAUGAAGAUGCAUCAACGUCUCCAUUAUCCCCCCUUUGAUUUGUUGCUGUAACACCCUUCAUCCUGAUUGAGACAAAGAGACGCCCCAGCAACAAAAGAAUAGCAACGCCUCCAAAGAACACACCAAAAGCAAUCCCAAAAAAGGCCUUCUUAUUUUGUUGUUUUGGGGAGAUUAGAGGGGUUGAAGCUGAACCACAUUUAUGAGCGAGUACAGAACCACAGAGCUUUGGAUUCCCGUCGAAGCUAGAAUUCUGAAAUGUAUUAAACUGCCCCCCAGAUGGAAUAGGCCCUUUGAGGUCAUUGUUAGAAAUGUUGAAUGCUGAAAGAAAGUGCAGGCUGUUUAAUGCAGCUGGGAUUUCACCUGUCAGAUUGUUGGCCGACAAGUCCAACACCUGCAGUUUUGUGAGAUUACAUAUUGAUUGUGGGAUGUGUCCCGUCAAGUGGUUGAAGCUGAAAUUGAGUGAAAGAAGGGCUUUCAUCUGACCGAUCUCCAGGGGGAUCACACCAGUGAAUUUGUUCUUGCUUAGAUCCAGGACUUUAGGCAAAGCAGUGGGUACACGGUAUUGUCGUGAUGGACUACUAUAAACAGGUAGCUCAAAUACCCUUGGGUCUAAAUGGGCUUUACUCUUCUCUGACUUCAGCAUUGGCAUAUCCAUAAUUGCUGUUGGAAUCCUCCCUGUGAAGCUAUUGUUUGAUAUGUCCAGAUAGAACAGGUUGCUUAGGGUUUUGAUCCAGACUGGUAUUGAUCCAUUGAGUCGAUUGUCAGCCAAUACUAAUAUUUGUAAAUUUCCUAGCUUUGAUAUCCAGUGAGGUAUUUGUCCAGACAAUUCGCAUCCUCCGAUACCCAAAACCUGAAGAUUCUCAAAACCAUCAAUUUUGUCAUCCUUUGGCAUGAUCUCUCCCCUGAAGUUGAGUGCAAUAAGCAGGGUGGUGAGGUUCUUGCAUCUCUUAAGGAUGUGAAGUGCAUUUGUGAUAUUUUUGAAAGAAUUGUCAGUAAGUGACAUGAAGGUGAGGUACUUCAGAUUGCCUAUUUGUGGAGAAAGCUGCCCAGAUAAAUUAUUGCCAGCUAACCGCAGUGCUGUCAGAUUGCUGCAAGAGUAUAAGCUUUCUGGAACUUUGCCGCUGAAGUUGUUCAAGAAAACAUCUAAUGUUCUUAGAUUGGGAAGGAGGGAGAAAUUGACCUUUGUAAGUUCUCCACUGAAAUUAUUGCUCUUGAGGUCAAUUGUUAUCAGAUUUGUGCAGUUGCUCAGAGCAGAUGGCAGCUCCCCUGACAUGUUGUUGUUGUCCAAACGGAGCUCCUCCAAUUUCUUGAGCUGUCCUAUAGAAACUGGAAUCUUGCCGCUGAAGCUGUUCCUUCCAAGAUCAAGGGUUACAAGAUUUCUGAGGUUGGUUAUAUCUGUACCAUCGAUAGCUCCAUGUAAAUCAUUGUUAGGAAAUGACAGGUACUCCAAUGAUGUUGCGUUGAAGAGUUCAUUUGGGAUUACUCCAUUGAGGUUGUUGUAUCCAGCCCCGAGCUCUCUCAGCCUGGAGCAAUUACCAAGACUUGGGGGGAUGCUACCACUGAAUUCGUUGAAACACAAUCCAAGCACAGUGAGGGAUGGUGAGGUACUACAGAGUUGAGUUGGCAUCUGCCCAGUAAAGCUGUUAUUGCUGGCAUUGAGUGUGACCAGUUUCUCCAUUACUUUCCAUGUGGUGGAUGGAAAGUGUCCUGCAAAUAAGUUGCUUGAGAUGUUCAGUACCUGCAGAGGCCGGGAGGGGGUUGAAGAGGGCAGCUCGUGGAGUGUUCCGUUGAGCUGGUUAAAGCUGACAUCAAGUAUGGUGAUGCUGCUGGACGACACCAAUUCCAGCGGUAGGCCACCGGACAGCGAGUUGCACGACAGGUUGAGGCGCAAGAGGCUGGUGAGGUUGCCAAGGAACGGCGAGAUGGACCCCUCGAGGCCUCGAGAAGCCAGUGAAACAUCAGUGACCGCCCUAUCGGGACUCCUGCAGGUGAUCCCUUCCCACUUGCAGCAAUCCGUGUCGUUCUGCCAUGAAGCAGCGAGGCCACCGUCUUGCGAGAGCUCGGCGAGGAACUGGAGAAGGGGGCCCCUCUCAUGCUCCGUGCAGGAGCUGGUGAGAGAGGACAAGGAGAUCAGCAGCACAAGGGAAAGGGCAAAUGAAGGCAUGUGUGUCUUGUUUAAAAACUGGAGUGUCUGCAUGGUUUUCUGGUGAAACUAGUCUGAAAAUCUGAGCAUCAAUGGUUGUCUAAUCAUUGAAGAGCUUGACGGUAAAGAAGAAGCUCCCAUUUUGUUGUGCUCCUUGCAGUCGUAGUUAGCACAAAGGAAAAACGGUUGGUUCAGACUCUGACCACUAUACUGAAUACUAGUAUUUCUGACUUUUGUAGCCGUCUACUAUUUCUCUGACACUAAACGGUUGGUGCAAAAGCUUUCUUUUGUAGCCGUCUACUAUUUCUGACUCAAUCCGUAUAGAAUUUUUACCACGUGCCAUAAUUAUUUCGCUGAUCACUUCUUGAUGCACCCUUUUGUGACCAGGAAACGCCACGCAUUCAAAAAAGAAACAGUUGGUGGAGAUUUGCAGAUAUCCGAAGGGCGAGAUAGUUCAUGGGGAGAUCAUACCGAAAGGUGGGCGUGAUCGGGAGGAAUCAUCUGCGUCUCGGUCAGCCUGUGGCGGGGCGGGCGAUCUUUGGUCUCUUCCAUCCUCUUGACCUUAUCACACGUGCUUUGUCUGAUGGAUACAUCUGCUUGUGUUCUCCGUCCUCCUGGCUCCACUGGCACACUAUUGUGGACCAUGGAUUGUGACGCUCUGCGGCCCAUUAAUUGAACUCUGAAGCCGUUCAAACUUGACAGUAAACUGGGGUGGCGUGUGAGGCUUGGCAAUGGCCCUUGGUUCGGAUGCUUGCGCACGACGGUGACGACGCCUCGCAUGGCGAUGCGGCGACGGCGAGCUUGAGCAGCUGGCGCUGGAGCUAGAGGCAGAGAGGCUGGUGUUGUGCUGGGUGACAUUGCAGGGCGGUCUCUGCCGGGGGCAAGCCGCCGGCGCUACCGCCGGAGGCGAAUAAGCCGCUGCUUGGAUUGUUUUAUUGUGCAGAUACUGGGGUAGACAGGAGCAGGUGAGAAAUAGUCUUUCCACCACGAUGUAGCAUAUCCGACAUUUCUCCCGCGAUUGUUUGUCCGACGCCUUGGCUUGGAGCCACCAUGAGUAGAGCAUUCACCUGCUCAUGCCCCUCGCGGUCUGCGAAUGACAGCAAGAAUGAGUUCGUCCUUGCUAGAUGAAGAAGGCGUCGAAUUCAU
This 5085-nucleotide long non-coding RNA is filed under the name Triticum aestivum (bread wheat). Its description in RNAcentral is "long non-coding RNA (TAES_LNC013071)". The stretch from base 394 to 528 matches the Rfam family "MIR1120/MIR1122 microRNA precursor family". The record is from RNAcentral. Lineage: Eukaryota; Viridiplantae; Streptophyta; Magnoliopsida; Poales; Poaceae.